This 275-nucleotide ribosomal RNA is filed under the name uncultured bacterium. RNAcentral's name for it is "partial 16S ribosomal RNA". It matches the Rfam family "Bacterial small subunit ribosomal RNA", at positions 338 to 627 of the family's 1533-position model. The record is from RNAcentral.
CCUACGGGUGGCUGCAGUGGGGAAUUUUACGCAAUGGGCGAAAGCCUGACGUAGCGACACCGCGUGAGCGAAGAAGCCUUUUGGGGUGUAAAGCUCUGUCAACAGGGACGAAAAAAAUGACGGUACCUGUGGAGGAAGCAUCGGCUAACUACGUGCCAGCAGCCGCGGUAAGACGUAGGAUGCAAGCGUUGUCCGGAUUUAUUGGGCGUAAAGAGUUCGUAGGCGGUUCGUUAAGUCUGAUGUUAAAGACUGGGGCUCAACCCUGGGAGUGCAUU